Molecule: ribosomal RNA, 427 nt
Filed under: uncultured bacterium
Lineage: Bacteria
Description: bacterial SSU rRNA
Rfam family: Bacterial small subunit ribosomal RNA
Source: RNAcentral
UGGGGAAUUUUGGACAAUGGACGCAAGUCUGAUCCAGCCAUGCCGCGUUCGGGAAGAAGGCCUUCGGGUUGUAAACCGCUUUUGUCAGGGAAGAAACGAGUUUCUCUAAUACAGAGACUUAAUGACGGUACCUGAAGAAUAAGCACCGGCUAACUACGUGCCAGCAGCCGCGGUAAUACGUAGGGUGCAAGCGUUAAUCGGAAUUACUGGUCGUAAAGCGUGCGCAGGCGGUUAUGUAAGACAGAUGUGAAAUCCCCGGGCUCAACCUGGGAACUGCAUUUGUGACUGCAUAGCUGGAGUGCGGCAGAGGGGGAUGGAAUUACGCGUGUAGCAGUGAAAUGCGUAGAUAUGCGGAGGAACACCGAUGGCGAAGGCAAUCCACUGGACCUGCACUGACGCUCAUGCACGAAAGCGUGGGGAGAAAACA